This is a long non-coding RNA of Cryptotermes secundus, 1048 nucleotides long. RefSeq lists it as uncharacterized. Lineage: Eukaryota; Metazoa; Arthropoda; Insecta; Blattodea; Kalotermitidae. The record is from RefSeq and is a predicted model, not a curated record. The transcript is spliced from 3 exons.
GGAAAUGAAGUCGUGUGUGGGGUGAGAGUAAAAGUGAUUUGUGAGAUAUUCUAAGAUUUAGCGUCAUAUAGUCGAAAUGAAACAUAUUUUGAAUGUUACAGUAUACGAUGAUGUGUCACUGGUGUUGUGAAUGUGGACUGUGACAGAGGUAGGAAUGGAUAAAGGCCUGUUGUUCGUGGUCAUGUCAUACCAAACCCGUAAAAAUGAAUAACACAGGCAAUGAUUGAGUUCAUUUCCAGAACUGUUUAAAAGUUUUACGAAUUAAAAUGGUAAACAUUUAUAUACAUUUUAAUUGAAUGUCAAAUUAUUUUAGUCUCUCGUUAAUUCUUGAUUAUCAUGUUUAUCCUCUUUAGAUAGGUAUGUAAUUCUAAUGAUACUGAAAUAUAACCUUAUUUUAUAAUAAUAAAAUUACUUCAGUGUUUUUAUGGGUUUUAUUACGACCCUUUCAGUAUCAUUGAUUAUAUAAUGUCUAGCGGUAGGAUCUUAGGUUAACAAUGAAUUAGAAAGGAUUCGGAAGAAAACGCUUGUGAACUGAGGUACAAACUCGGCAUUUGACUGGUAUGACUGAGAAGACCGCGUUAAAUAUCGGUCAGGAUUUACCGGAUAGACAGUGUGUCGAACUGCUUGUAUAAAUCGAUAUAUUUCGAUUAUUAUGUGCUAAGAGUUAUCGUGUAUGAUGUGACGAGUGUUUGUUGAGAAGCUAGUGGUCGUUCAUCUGUUCAAGAAUGGAUCGUGUGUGAAUAAACAUAAUUGUAAACUGACUGUGUUGGCCGCUACGUGGAAUGGUAAUACGCGGUUCGUGUUUACACUUGUGGCCCAGUUUGCAACAGUAAUGAAGGCAGUCAAAUCGGUGUAAAGACAAGCUGGUUCAAGGAUGCGAGAGAACAUGUCGGUCCUAAACUUCGCGCCUGGGGACUGCAGCAGCGACUCUCGUGUCAAUAGAACGAACCUUUCUGAGCGGGUUCAAGUAGCCAUACUACACGGCGUCACAUGCCAGGAGACCUUAAUCAUAACAAAAGGACGUCUCUGGGAACGGACUGCUGAGGAG